This is a long non-coding RNA of Carassius gibelio (silver crucian carp), 1223 nucleotides long. RefSeq lists it as uncharacterized. The record is from RefSeq and is a predicted model, not a curated record. The transcript has 3 exons. NCBI's taxonomy places the organism in Eukaryota, Metazoa, Chordata, Actinopteri, Cypriniformes, Cyprinidae.
UAAAAAAUUAUUUAGCAGUUUAGUUGUUUCAAUGAAUUUUUUUAUGUUGACACAACUUGCAGUUACUGAAUUUGUUCAUUCAACUAAAAAUUUUAAGUUUUCAGUGUCUCCACUAGUUUGAAAGUUGACUGAACUAGGUUAUUUGUCCUCAUAACUUAAAAAAAUUUGUUGACUCAAUUCAAUAGCAAUAUCACGUUCACAACAUCACUUAUCGCGAGAUCUCGUCAUUCUCCUGAAUGCUGUUGAAGACAGAAGAAGGUCGUCAGCCAUUCUAGUCAGUUUCUCCUCAAAGUUUGGACAUUUGACUAAAAUACAACUUUGAUUCAGCGCAGAAUUCAAUAAUCCUGUGGAUGGACCACAGCGAGUCCUUUUGCAGUUAUCCAUCAAAAUGAUAUGCAGACAUAAUGGAAAUGGCAUUUACACAGUAGAGCUUGGACGAAGUUGUAAGUAAAUUUAUUUAUUUAUAAAUGCACAUUUAUUGGAGUCUAUAUGCUUUAUGAUUGUAAGGCCCUGUUUAGUGCAUCCCUUUGUUUUUAUUAAAGCACACAGGCUCUGUGCAGGAAUUCAUCAAGGACAUGACUGCUGGGAUUACGCUUCUGGAUGACCAAUCUGAGCACCAUCAGUCUGCAGUGAUGUGAUCCAGCCAUCCAGUGACAUUAAGGAUGUUGAGAAAGAAAUUGAAGAGGGCAUUCUGAUUGUAACUGAGGAACAGCAAUGUGAUGUGCUUCCCAAGGAAUAACCAACAUUGGUCUCAUUUGGACAUCCUGUCAUCACUGACAUCUCCCAUGUCCCCAAGGCAUUUGGACUCUUAAUGGGUCUGUAUGCAGUGAACAUCCACUACCUCCAGCGCAUUAAAUACACCAUUGAGGCUCUUCAGAAACUUGUGAAGAUCAGCUGCUCCCACCAUGUGCUCGCUCCAGCGACAGGAACUGUAGGUGUGGGGGAGUGAAUAUCUAGCGCUCUCUCCACCCUCAACACCACAAAUAAGGUGUCCUUGAGCAAGGCACAACUUCUCCCCGGGUACUGCAGCAUAAAUGGAUGCCCACUGCUCUGGGUGUGUGUUCACGGUGUGUGUUCACUGCUGUGUGUGUGUGUGCACUUCGGAUGGGUUAAAUGAAGAGCACAAAUGUAUGUCAUGUCACUUUCACUUUUCAGUGUUCAUGAUGUGUCCAUCGGCUCCACCGCACUCUUUCUUAAAAAGUAGUGUUUUUUUUUUUUUUUUU